RNAcentral lists this unclassified non-coding RNA (279 nucleotides) under plant metagenome. Its description in RNAcentral is "partial contains small subunit ribosomal RNA, internal transcribed spacer 1, and 5.8S ribosomal RNA". The record is from RNAcentral.
UUUCCGUAGGUGAACCUGCGGAAGGAUCAUUAUUAUAUAACCGUGAUGCGAGGUCUGUCGCUGACCCGCAAGGUCGUGCACGUCUGAGUGGCCUUACACACAUCCAUGUCACCCCUAUGUGUACUACUGCGACGGUCUCUCUUAGACUUGUUCGGAGGGGGGAAUACGUUUUCAACUAUCCUCAGCAUGCCGUGUAGCUUGUAUUUUUUGUUUUUACGCUCCCGAACUCAAUACAACUUUCAUCAACGGAUCUCUUGUCUCUCGCAUCGAUAUACAACC